RNAcentral lists this transfer RNA (75 nucleotides) under bacterium. RNAcentral describes it as "tRNA-Glu". It matches the Rfam family "tRNA". From Rfam's summary of the family: Transfer RNA (tRNA) molecules are approximately 80 nucleotides in length. The record is from RNAcentral.
GGCCCCAUCGUCUAGUGGCUAGGACACCACGCUUUCAAUGUGGGAACCCGGGUUCGAUUCCCGGUGGGGCUACCA